This is a long non-coding RNA of Cucumis melo (muskmelon), 528 nucleotides long. RefSeq lists it as uncharacterized. The transcript has 2 exons. The record is from RefSeq and is a predicted model, not a curated record. Lineage: Eukaryota; Viridiplantae; Streptophyta; Magnoliopsida; Cucurbitales; Cucurbitaceae.
UAUUUUCUAUUAAUUGUUUUUUCUCUUUAUAUAUGUUUUUGUAUAUUUCUUAUUGUAACGCAGAGCUCCACAGAUUCUUGGUGUGUGAUAUACCUUGUAAAAAUUGUUAGAUUCUUAUUUUUAAUAAUGAUGAAGGGAUUUGGAAUUGCAAGAGCAAUAGAAAGGAAUGCGUGUUAGGUGGUUCUUGAAAUUUUAAUGUACCUACCUAUCUUCUAUUCCUUCUGUCAUUCGACAUUCGAAAAAGGGAAAGAGGUCUUGUAGAGAAAAUCUGAGUUAGUUUACAUGCAGAAAUUUGCAGUUGGUGCUUAAAAGUAAGAUGGGCUGAAAGAAUCAUGGAGGACUAGUCUAAGAUGACCUUGAGUUUAAUCUUUCCUAAUUCUGGUGCUUUUGUGAAGAUAUUGAUUCUCUACUAUCAGUGAUUUGUGUGGGUUGUUGACUGAAUGGAAAAGCUGGUUUUGUACAUGAAUGCCACUAAUGUUACUUACUAGCUUAUUUGGAUCAAGAAAAUAAUGAAGUUUUUGACAAAUA